Non-coding RNA from Bacillus sp. 2_A_57_CT2, 68 nucleotides. The record is from Rfam. NCBI's taxonomy places the organism in Bacteria, Bacillati, Bacillota, Bacilli, Caryophanales, Bacillaceae.
CUACAGCUAGAUCCAUACCCCUAAACUCCCUAGAUUCGCCAGUGCCCACAAGGCACUGGCCAUUUUUU